GAGCUGGGCUUGGUGCCCAGUAAAAGUACAGAGGAUCCUUGUGCCAUGACUGUUUGGCCAGCCCUAGUGCCAGGGGGCUGUCUGGCAGUGCUCAUAGUUCUCUGGAGUGCAGCCAGGAUCUGCCAGGCAGUCUGACUCCAUCCAGAAGCUUCUCAACCAGAUGAAGAAGUGAUGUCUGUGAUCUGCUUUGGGGAGGGACUUCUCAAGUAACUGUGACUUAAAAUAUACCCUGCCUGACUCAGAGGGGCACUGUCAUCUUGGAAUUCAAAGAUGCAUCUUGCGGUUUCCAAGACACCUCCACUGUUUUGAACAUACAGGUGCCAACAUAUAUUCAAACAAGAAUCAUCUGAAAUAAGGAUUCGGAAGAAGCACAAUUUUGUGUAAACAUAUCUGAAAUUUAAGAACCUUUAAAUAAUGGG
Molecule: long non-coding RNA, 419 nt
Filed under: Homo sapiens (human)
Lineage: Eukaryota; Metazoa; Chordata; Mammalia; Primates; Hominidae
Description: HSALNT0358863
Source: RNAcentral